UCUUAUAUCACGACAAGGUAUAGGAUGGUCCUUGGGCAACGUGAGGUAAAACGUUGUAUCAUCACUAGGGCUCAUAGUGGUGGUUGUCGGUUAAAGAAUCUCCCACAAAAGUUAUAUUACUUUUAUAUAAGUAAAGUUGAGUUUGUUAUUGUUUUAUCAUUAACGAGCUAAGUUGUUUACAUUGUUUUACAAGCUUUAUAUGUAUUACAUAUGUCCUAUUGCUUUACAUUUGAGUUCAUUUAUCCAUGAGUCGAACACAACCAAGGUAAGUGUUCUCUUGUACUCC
This 286-nucleotide long non-coding RNA is filed under the name Solanum tuberosum (potato). RNAcentral describes it as "long non-coding RNA (STUB_LNC004568)". The record is from RNAcentral. Lineage: Eukaryota; Viridiplantae; Streptophyta; Magnoliopsida; Solanales; Solanaceae.